Macadamia integrifolia is the source of this 2564-nucleotide long non-coding RNA. RefSeq lists it as uncharacterized. The transcript has 3 exons. The record is from RefSeq and is a predicted model, not a curated record. Lineage: Eukaryota; Viridiplantae; Streptophyta; Magnoliopsida; Proteales; Proteaceae.
UGAGGAAGUAAGAUAUUGGUUACAACACGGAACAAAGGUGUUGCAUCCAUUGUGCGCACUGAUCCAAAUGAUCAUGAUCUUGAAGUUCUAUCAGACAAUGCUUGUUUGGCACUGGUUAGAAGACAUACUUUCAUGGAUGGAAAUUCAUCAUUUGAGGAUGCGAAUGAAAAUUGGAAGUAUUUGGUGAACAAAUUUUGAAGAAAUGUUAGGGUUUACCUUUGGCUAUAAAGACACUGGCUGGUGUCUUGCGAGAUAAAAGGGAGAAUUGUGAGUGGGAAAAAUAUUUUGGAGAGUGAAAUAUGGGAUUUAAGAGACAGUACUAAUAUCAUUCCAUCACUUGUGUUGAGCGAUCAUCAUCUUCCUCCGCAUCUGAAGAGGCGCUUCGCAUAUUGUGCUUUAUUUCACAAGGACUACGAAUUCGACAAGAUCGAGUUGGUAAGAUUAUGGAUGGCAGAAGGUAUUGUGCAAUCAAAAGGAAAGAAACGGCUUAAAGAUAUAGGAGUAGGGUAUUUCGACGAUCUCUCUAUGAAGUCUUUCUUUGACACAUCUAAGAAUCGUCCUUAUGAAAAAAUAUACAAGUCGACUUGGAAAUGCUAUGAUAUGUGGUGGUGUAUGAAUGGGGUUACCUAUACUGACCGACUACUUUUCUGAGAAUGAUGAUAGAUAUUCAUAUCAUGACUUAUUACAAUGUUUUGGCAUUGAGUCCUUUUCUGAAUCAACCAAAAUUUCUGGAUCAUCAAAGUUUGUGGAAUAUUGCGAGAUGAAAAAAUUGUUUGACUCUCAACAUCAAUCACCUCAUGAUUGCAACUCAAACGUCGAAGAUGGUGGUGAAGGAGAAUUCCAUUGGCUCAAUGAGCUAUAUGUCUUUAGAUGUCCCAACAUGAAGAAAUUACCACACACCCUUCCUUCCUUGGUGAAACUUGCAAUAGAAGCUUGUGAAGAACCCUCUUUCCUUCCAAUGCUGCCGUCAUUCGAGAGGUUGCGGUUAGGGCAAUGCAGUGAAAUGGUACUUGGGAAGGUGUCUGAUUUAUCAUUACUUUCAUCCUUAUGCAUGAAAGGUAUUUUAAAUCUGUCUUCGCUACCUGGUGGGUUCUUCCAACACCUAACAGCCCUUCAACAUUAGAAAUUACAUAUUGUCUUGCUCUUGAGUCCUUUCCAGACAUAAGGUUACGUAGCACACCUCAGGAGCUAUCGAUUUAAAUUGUGGGAAGCUGAAUUCCUUGCCUACGGGACUGCAUGAACUCACAAAUCUCCAACAAUUAAAAAUUAGAGGUUGUCUUAUUCUCAAGUCCUUUCCAGACAUGGGGUUACCCAUCACACUUCGGACACUAUCAAUUUCAAAUAGUGGGAAGCUGAAUUUCUUGCCCAAGGGACUGCACAAACUCACAAAACUCCAACAAUUAGAAAUUGGAGAUUGUCUUACUCUUGAGUCCUUUCCAGACAUGGGAUUACCCAGCACACUUUGGGACCUAUGGAUUUUAAAUUGUGGGAAGCUGAAUUCCUUGCCCAAAGGACUGCACAAACUCACAAAUCUCCAACAAUUGAACAUUUUGGGAUGCUCUUUUCUUAUGGAGUGCAAGAAUCUUGAACCCCUGUAUACCUUGGGCCUUCAUAAUCUCACCUCUCUUUCAGAUCUCACUGUUGGUGGAUGUCCUGCUCUCGUGUCCAUUCCAAAGGGCCUGCUUCCGAACAAUCUUAGGAAAUUUUAGAUCUGUGGCUGCCUGAUUCUUGAAUCCUUACAUGAUGGACUCUCUAACCUAACCUCUCUUGAAGGUUUGGUGAUUGUAAAUUGUCUAAUGCUAAACCAAUUGUACCAAAAGAAGGAAGGAGAACUGUGGUCCAAGAUUGCCCAUAUCCCUACCAUAAUGAUAGAUUUGCAACGUCAAUAAAUCCUAACCACCAACUAUGGGCAUUCCCUUUCAUAACAAAACCCAAUGAUGGAAUACUACAGAGUACUGACGGAUCUGUCUAUAAUGCAGUAACACAGUAAAAGCAUAGAUGCAAUGCAACCAAUUGAAUGAGGUGAAUGACAAGAUGUGAAGAGCAUGACUGAAUGAUGGAACAGAUAUCAGGGGCAGAUUAUUAUUACUGAGAGAAAUUGCUUCUCUUUGAAAAUGCUCAAGAAUCCACACAACGUGAAAAAGCAGUUGUGUGCUACAUUUCAACUAAUUAGCAUUCUGUAGCAUUGAAUCUAUAAGUUAUCACUUAUCAGCCUCCAGUUAGUUUCUGCCAACACUAAAGCUUCAAUUGGUCAUGAUAAAUGAUGGAAGUUAUACAAUGGAGGAAUCUGUUCUAUAAGUCAUUCUUACACUAGUGGCCCUCAAUCUGCCUCAAAAUUCUCAAGGCAAGAACACUCAACUUAGCUGGGAUUUUUUGACAUUUGAACUAGAACCGGAAGAUUGUGGGACUUGUGUCAAUGUCCUACUCUGAAAUUGUGAGUACCUUUGCACCUCUCUCUCCCUGUUUCAUACACAUACAGAAAAAAAGAAAUGUAUGCAAAGUGAAUUAUAUGCCUGCCUUUUUCUACCAGGAAAAAGGAAGAAAUAUGUGCCUUCCAAAAAAAA